RNAcentral lists this long non-coding RNA (1201 nucleotides) under Cricetulus griseus (Chinese hamster). RNAcentral describes it as "lncRNA (ENSCGRG00015037849.1)". The record is from RNAcentral. Lineage: Eukaryota; Metazoa; Chordata; Mammalia; Rodentia; Cricetidae.
CUUGGCUCGGGGUCUCCCUAAUCGGAAGCUGAUCAUCUGUCUCUCAAGAUGCAUUAAAGCUUUACUGCAGAAGGAUCCGAGUGUCCUGUGUGGUUCUUGCUGGCGAGACGAUCGUGCAGGACAUCUAGUGCUGAAACCCGGGAACGUGUUGACAUCGCCGGCGCCACGGGAGACCCCUCGGAGGACGGGGCGGAUUCAGAACUGCAGGGUGGUAAGUUUGGAGAGGACGAAGAGAAUCCCCUGUGGAUCCCGGACAGACUCACCCAAAGAGCCCCUUUGGACCCUCAAAAGUCGGAACUCCACCUUCUCCCCUCAAAUUAGUCGGGAGUUCAAUGAGACCUUCCCAGGCUCUUCCUGGAUUUCAUCAACAGUUUCUUAUUUUAAGGAAUGGGUGGGGGUGGGACUUUUGGCACAAUUCUCUACAGUGGUGUGGUGUUUAUGCUUUGGACUGUGUGUAGACUCAAAAACCAAACAAAAAAAAAAGAUAAGGUAGUGGUUGCACAGGCACAUUCCUAGAGAAUGGAAUCUCCCCCGGCAUUUGGUUAAGCAUGUUGAAGCAAUAGGUCGCCGACUGCUCAGCUCCUGCACCUCCGGAGGCUUGACCUAAUUGCACGGAAUAGAGUGAGCAAGGUUCGGCAGGUCAAAAGAGUUGCAAGGCUAAGCACUGCACAGAAAGGGCCUGUGGCUUUUCUUGUGGCUCUUCUGGGAGAUAUGUCAUCUUGCAUGAAGGUUAUAUGUCAUAAUGCCCUUCCCCCAGAAAAAGACAUAAGGACGGGUCUGGGCCUGCUCUGGACACAAAGUCUGGAGUCCUGCUCAAGACAAGCUCUGCAUCCAGUUUUGGGGAGUUGACCUCUAUCUCCACUCUGCAUUUGGCUGGCCUAUAGCCUCUGUGUUUCUAUAUAAUUGUAUAGGGGGAGAUGUGAGGAGCCGCACUCACAUUUGCCAUUACAAGAUGGCGCUGACAUCCGCUGCCGGAUCAAGUAAACAACGUUGGUGCACAUGUGCCAAGUGUUUUUCCACUUGCCUAGUCUUGCCUCUCCCGUGGCGUCAUAUAGGGUGAUGAGUCCUCAACCUAUCCCAGCUGUACACACACUGCUCGGAGCUUAUGAGCCUUUAUAAGGGGACGGGAUUCUUGGCUCCGGAUCUCCCUAAUCGGAAGCUGAUCAUCUGUCUCUCAAGAUGCAUUAAAGCUUUACUGCAG